This 253-nucleotide ribosomal RNA is filed under the name uncultured bacterium. Its description in RNAcentral is "partial 16S ribosomal RNA". It matches the Rfam family "Bacterial small subunit ribosomal RNA", at positions 524 to 776 of the family's 1533-position model. The record is from RNAcentral.
CACGGGGGGAGCAAGCGUUGUUCGGAAUCACUGGGCGUAAAGGGCGUGUAGGCGGUUUGGUAAGUGGAAUGUGAAAUCCCUCGGCUUACCCGAGGACCUGCAUCCCAUACUGCCAAGCUUGAGUACGGGAGAGGAUGAGGGAAUUCCUGGUGUAGCGGUGAAAUGCGUAGAUAUCAGGAGGAACACCAAUGGCGAAGGCAGCUCGCUGGGACGGUACUGACGCUGAGACGCGAAAGCGUGGGGAGCAAACGGG